CUCAACCCAGAAGCAGAAGCAGAAGUGGACGUCGUUGAUGAAGAAGAAGAGGAGACCGAGAUACAGGUUGAUCACAUGCUGAACAACGACGAUGAAGAUGAUGAUCAACCACCACCAAUACCUCUUAGUCGUGUCUACAAUCCGCCUCAACAUAUGACAAAUAUGGAUCUUCACGACGAUGAAACAUCCAACAGUGUUUUCU
RNAcentral lists this long non-coding RNA (202 nucleotides) under Lathyrus oleraceus (garden pea). Its description in RNAcentral is "Pisum sativum (pea) long non-coding RNA (PSAT_LNC005513)". The record is from RNAcentral. Lineage: Eukaryota; Viridiplantae; Streptophyta; Magnoliopsida; Fabales; Fabaceae.